UAGCAGGCGGCUUGCGGAGCUGGCCUAGCCUGCGGGCGCGACGGGAUCUGCGGGCGUCGGGCGAACGCGUGGCAACGAGCACCUGGAGGAAACCCCGGCCUGGGAGCUGUUUAUUUAUGGCUGCAAAUGUGUGUGUUCAAGAGAGAGAGGGAAUUGAUCUUUGCCUGGACUUAAAGAUGGAGCCGAAGAAGCUGGAGGGAAUUUGGGCUUGUGCGUCUGGCCCAGACCCUGUGCGCCGAGCCCGAGGUCUAUCCUCCCCGCACCUCUCACCUCGCGACCUUGCAGGAAUCCGCGGGCCCGGAUGCUGCCCAGCUGACCCUCCUGCCCCGGGCCUGGCUGCAGAGAAAGUCUUCGGGCAGGAGGCCAUCCUGUUCCUGUCUUUAAAAUGAGCACAAUAAAAGGGGGCAAAUCCUCGAACGCGAACCUGAUCUCAUGUCACAGAAGCAACUUGCCAUGAAAUCCGCUAAUGCGCUGCGACU
RNAcentral lists this long non-coding RNA (479 nucleotides) under Homo sapiens (human). RNAcentral's name for it is "non-protein coding lnc-ONECUT1-1:1". The record is from RNAcentral. Lineage: Eukaryota; Metazoa; Chordata; Mammalia; Primates; Hominidae.